Molecule: ribosomal RNA, 305 nt
Filed under: Mesocalanus tenuicornis
Lineage: Eukaryota; Metazoa; Arthropoda; Copepoda; Calanoida; Calanidae
Description: partial 16S rRNA
Source: RNAcentral
AAUUAGUUUUUUAAUUGGAAAAUAGAAUGAAUGAUAUUACAAAAAUAUGUAUGUUUUUACUAAAAGGUGAAUUUUUAAUUUAGGUGAAAAUACCCAAUAAAUAUUUUUAGACGAGAAGACCCUAUGAAGCUUAUAAAUUGUAAAUUUUUCUUCCUAUCUUUACAGUAAAUUUAUUAUUUGGGGAAAAGCUUAAUAUUCUUAUUAAUAUGUACUUAUUUGAAAUAAUCCUAGUAGUUGGAAAGAUAAAAAAGCUCCUCUAGGGAUAACAGCAUUAUGCUUAUAAGAGUUCUUAUCAGAAUAAGUGU